UGGGAGAUUGAUACACAAGCCAGACUGAAACUUGCUUGGUUUGUCACAAAAUCUCCCUAAAGUAAAAUAGCUUUUUGAUGACCGGGACGAAAUGAGAGAAAUCGUAACGGACAGAUACGGAGCAGACACGC
This is a non-coding RNA of Bufo bufo (common toad), 131 nucleotides long. RefSeq annotates it as small Cajal body-specific RNA 8. The transcript has a single exon. NCBI's taxonomy places the organism in Eukaryota, Metazoa, Chordata, Amphibia, Anura, Bufonidae. The record is from RefSeq and is a predicted model, not a curated record.